RNAcentral lists this ribosomal RNA (984 nucleotides) under uncultured bacterium. RNAcentral's name for it is "bacterial SSU rRNA". It matches the Rfam family "Bacterial small subunit ribosomal RNA", at positions 505 to 1501 of the family's 1533-position model. The record is from RNAcentral.
GUGUCAGCCGCCGCGGUAAUACGGAGGAUGCAAGCGUUAUCCGGAUUCAUUGGGUUUAAAGGGUGCGCAGGCGGAAUGAUAAGUCAGUGGUGAAAUCCUACGGCUCAACUGUAGAACUGCCAUUGAUACUGUUGUUCUUGAGUACACUUGGAGUGGGCGGAAUGUGUCAUGUAGCGGUGAAAUGCUUAAAUAUGACACAAAACACCGAUCGCGAAGGCAGCUCACUAAGUUGUAACUGACGCUCAGGCACGAAAGCGUGGGGAUCAAACAGGAUUAGAUACCCUGGUAGUCCACGCUGUAAACGAUGAUCACUCGAUGUUGGCGAUAUACUGUCAGCGUCUAAGCGAAAGCAUUAAGUGAUCCACCUGGGGAGUACGAUCGCAAGAUUGAAACUCAAAGGAGUUGACGGGGGCCCGCACAAGCGGAGGAGCAUGUGGUUUAAUUCGAUGGUACGCGAGGAACCUUACCUGGGUUAGAACGCUGGGCGACCGUCCGGGGAACCGGAUUUCUCUUCGGAGCGGCCAGCGAGGUGCUGCAUGGUUGUCGUCAGCUCGUGCCGUGAGGUGUCGGGUUAAGUCCCAUAACGAGCGCAACCCCUAUCAUUAGUUGCCAUCAGGUCAUGCUGGGAACUCUAGUGAAACUGCCUACGCAAGUAGUGAGGAAGGUGGGGAUGACGUCAAAUCAGCACGGCCCUUACGUCCAGGGCUACACACGUGCUACAAUGGCCGGUACAAAGGGCAGCUACCUGGUGACAGGAUGCAAAUCUCUAAAACCGGUCUCAGUUCGGAUCGAAGUCUGCAACUCGACUUCGUGAAGUUGGAUUCGCUAGUAAUCGUAUAUCAGCAAUGAUACGGUGAAUACGUUCCCGGGCCUUGUACACACCGCCCGUCAAGCCAUGGGAGUUGGGGGUACCUAAAGUUCGUGACCGCAAGGAGCGACCUAGGGUAAAACCAAUGACUGGGGCUAAGUCGUAACAAGGUAGCC